CACCCAGCCAAUCCUAUUCUAUCUUGCUGCUGCAGCCCCUUCUCCUUCCCUGGUGUGGUGGUGCCCCCUUGCUGCUGCAACUCCUCUCCAAUCCAAGCUUGGUGAUGGCAAGGGCAGGCUUCAUGGCUGGGGGAGGCAUGCAGGGAAGGGGAACGAAUUUGUGAUUCUCGCAUAGGUGGUGGUGCUUCGUCUCAUACUUGAAGUUCGUCGUUAUCAUCAGUUGAAGGCAA
Molecule: long non-coding RNA, 230 nt
Organism: Phragmites australis (common reed)
Lineage: Eukaryota; Viridiplantae; Streptophyta; Magnoliopsida; Poales; Poaceae
Exons: 3
Source: RefSeq, a predicted model, not a curated record